RNAcentral lists this ribosomal RNA (164 nucleotides) under uncultured bacterium. RNAcentral describes it as "partial 16S rRNA". It matches the Rfam family "Bacterial small subunit ribosomal RNA", at positions 355 to 510 of the family's 1533-position model. The record is from RNAcentral.
UAGGGAAUCUUCGGCAAUGGACGAAAGUCCGACCGAGCAACGCCGCGUGAGUGAAGAAGGUUUUCGGAUCGUAAAACUCUGUUGGUAGAGAAGAACGUUGGUGAGAGUGGAAAGCUCAUCAAGUGACGGUAACUACCCAGAAAGGGACGGCUAACUACGUGCCA